Molecule: ribosomal RNA, 468 nt
Filed under: uncultured bacterium
Lineage: Bacteria
Description: partial 16S ribosomal RNA
Rfam family: Bacterial small subunit ribosomal RNA
Source: RNAcentral
GACGAACGCUGGCGGCGUGCUUAACACAUGCAAGUCGAACGGAAAGGCCCUGCUUUUGUGGGGUGCUCGAGUGGCGAACGGGUGAGUAACACGUGAGUAACCUGCCCUUGACUUUGGGAUAACUUCAGGAAACUGGGGCUAAUACCGGAUAGGAGCUCCUGCUGCAUGGUGGGGGUUGGAAAGUUUCGGCGGUUGGGGAUGGACUCGCGGCUUAUCAGCUUGUUGGUGGGGUAGUGGCUUACCAAGGCUUUGACGGGUAGCCGGCCUGAGAGGGUGACCGGGCACAAUUGGACUGGGGAUACGGCCAGGAUCCUAAGGGGGGGAGGAGGGGGGAAUAUUUGACAAAGGGGCGAAGGCCGAAUGCGGCACCGCGGGGGGGGGAAGAAGGCCUUUGGGGUGUAAACCGGCUUCGGCCUGGAAGGAGGGGGGGGUGCGGUAAUGGGUAAAGAAGCACCGGCUAACUACGUG